Molecule: RNA transcript, 2878 nt
Organism: Nannospalax galili (Upper Galilee mountains blind mole rat)
Lineage: Eukaryota; Metazoa; Chordata; Mammalia; Rodentia; Spalacidae
Gene: Armc7
Gene name: armadillo repeat containing 7
Exons: 5
Source: RefSeq, a predicted model, not a curated record
UGAGCCGGGAACCUACUGCAGAGAGGUCCUGUGCGGUGGGUGUGUGCUUCCAGUUCUAGUUCGCCUCCGCUUGCCGCCUCCCGGGCCGAACUUCGGGUCCCAAAUCCGGCUCUCAGAGGAUCCUGAGACCCCUACCCAGCCCCACAGCCCAUUUCCAGCUGCCAGUCACUUCAGGCUGGAACCCAGGACCCGACCCGGUUUACCUCCGCGUCGGUCCCGGCUGAGACAGGUCAGGUGCAGGUGAGGCACUCGCUCCGCCUGACCUUUCCUGUGCUCCCACCGGCCAUCCCGGCUCCUUCGCCGCCCCCGUCAUGGCCCAGAAGCCGAAGGUCGACCCCCACGUCGGGCGGCUAGGGUACCUGCAGGCUCUGGUCACAGAGUUCCAGGAGACCGAGAGCCAAGAUGCCAAGGAGCAAGUCCUUGCUAAUCUUGCCAACUUCGCCUAUGAUCCUGGCAACUAUCAAUAUCUGCGACAACUUCAAGUCCUGGAUCUAUUCCUCGAUUCGCUGUCCGAAGAGAAUGAAAACUUAGUGAAGUUUGCUAUUGGCGCACCCCACGUCCCCGUCGGCUGCUUCCCGCGGUGGGGCAGAAAUACCCAUCUCAGACCUUGCAGGGGCCCAGCCAAAGGAGGAUCCCAAAUACUGAGACGCCCCUUCCAGCGUGGAAGCCGGGGCUCCUGCAACCUGUGGGACCGGCUCUGCAGCCUGCCUGGUGCAAAGCAGCACCAGCCAAUGCCUGGGCCGUGGGGCCGCCAGGAAAUGGUACUGGAGAAGGCCAGAAGAGGGUGUGGAUCCUCUGGAGCAGGAGUUACAGGCAGUUGUGAGCCACCUGACAUGGGUGCUAUGAACAGAACUUGGGUCCACUGGAAGAGCAAGUACUCUUAACUGAGCCAUCUUUCUCAAAGACAUGCCUAAUAGUUCUCUUUGCCAGUAAGGAAGCAGAGGCCCAGCAGACAUGCCAAAGGAAGCCCCGUCAGAGCUCAGACCAGUGGGAAAGCAAUACGGAUAUUUUUUUGAGAUGGAUCUCAACUAGCCCAGGCUGACCUUGAACUUGCUAUGUAAAGGAGAGUGACCAUGAACCCAAUCUUCCUUCCAACUGGUGAGUGGUGGGAUUUACAGGUAUGCACCACCAUGGCCCACAAGAACUGUGCUUUGAACUGGAAUCUUUUUUCCAGCAGUGUUGUAUGAAUCCCUGAGCUGCAUUCCCCAGUCAGCCAUCACAAGGAUAAAACAAGUCCACAAGGUACAGUGUAGCUAGCACUGAUGUUCAUAGGUCAGAUGUAGUAAAAGCAUUUUCAUGUGGCACUUCACUUUAUAAUGAGCUUAUUACAACAGCACACCAUCUGUACUAGUGCCAUCUGCUAACAGGGAAGAAAAAAAGGAAGCAACUCAACCAUUCCAAAGGAAUCAGCCCUAUAUAUCACCACACCCCUUGCACAAGAGUCAAGGGCUACUGAGUUCCAUCUGAGCAGGUCCUACAGUGUUAUCACGUGGCACUAUGUGAGAACACCCUUGCCCUUGUAUCUACCUAAUAUCCACGCCACUAUGUGCCAGACCGAUGGGAGACAAAUCUAAAUACGUUCUUUUUGACAUGUCCAUGAUUACUAGGUGAGGCUAUUCUGGUUUUCUGUGUGAAGUGGGGGGUCUCAUAAUGUAACACUGGCUGGCUGGAACUAUGUAGACCAGGCUGGUCUGUAACUCAGAGAUCCACCUGCCUCUGCCUCACGAAGGCUGAGAUUAAAGUCCUGUGCCAUCACACCUUGACUUUACCCCAUUUUCUGAGACAGGGUCUCUCACUGAACCUACUGUUUUGACUAUGCUGCCUAGUCAACAAACCUGUGAUCCACUUAUCUCCACCCUCCAGCUCUGGGGUUACUGGUAUAUACCACACAUGCCCUUUAUGUGGGUGGUGGGGACCUGAACUCUGGUCCUCACACAUGCACAAGUACUUUACCUACUGACCCCCCCAAACAACCAAGCAUAUUAUUAAAGUUUUCUCUUGUAGCAUGGUGCAGUGGUAUGAACACCAUCUCAGCUACUUGGUAGUCUGAGAAGUGAGGACCUUAAGCUCAGAAGUUUUGAGGCUACCCUAGGCAACUUGGUAAGACCCUAAUUCAAAUAAUCAUAACCUCUGCCAGGCAUGGUGACCUACCCUGUAAUCCCAAACUCAGAAGUGCCAUGAGUUCAAGACCAGCCUGAGCUACCUAGUGAAUUCUAGGCCAGGGAUAGCUAGUUAAGUAGACCCUGUCUCAUAAAAGCCUCCUGUUAGGGGCUGGAGAGAUGGCUCAGCAGUUAAAAAGCACUUGCUCUUCUUGUUGAGAACCUACAUGGUGGUGGUAGUAGAUGGAUAACAAACAACCAGAAGACAGGAGUUUUGCAGAGUUGCUCAGGCUGGCCUUAAAUUCUUGGACUCAAGUGACUUGCAACCUAGGAGUUCCAGAGUAACUGAACUAUAAGCAUGUCUGGCUUGAAAAAAUAGAGAAAGAAAAUUAAGUGAACAUAGACUCAGUGUCGUUCUCUUAUGAUUAUUUUCCAGUGCUGAUCUGUCAUAUUUGUGAUACUAUCAUAAAGAUUCAAUUACUUUAUGCUAUAAGACACUUUAUUUGCUAAAAUAAAGAUCUCAGGGCUGGAGAGAUGGCUCAGCUGUUAAGAGCACUGACUGCUCUUGCAGAGGACCCAGGUUCAAUUCCCAGCACCCACAUGGCAGCUACAAACCGUCCUUAACUCCAGUUCCAGGGGAAUCCGAAGUCCUCUUCUGACCUCUGCGGCACUGCAGAACACGGAUGUAUGACUUGUCUCUGUAUUCCUAUAAUCCUAGCACUCAUGAGGGUGCUGGGAUUUCUUUUUAAAAGAAAUAAAGAUCUCUUUAGCUGGGCCUG